UACGUGGGGUGCAAGCGUUAAUCGGAAUUACUGGGCGUAAAGCGUGCGCAGGCGGUUCGGAAAGAGAGGUGUGAAAUCCCAGGGCUCAACCUUGGAACUGCACUUUUAACUACCGAGCUAGAGUAUGUCAGAGGGGGGUGGAAUUCCGCGUGUAGCAGUGAAAUGCGUAGAUAUGCGGAGGAACACCGAUGGCGAAGGCAGCCCCCUGGGAUAAUACUGACGCUCAUGCACGAAAGCGUGGGGAGCAAACAGG
Molecule: ribosomal RNA, 253 nt
Filed under: uncultured bacterium
Lineage: Bacteria
Description: partial 16S ribosomal RNA
Rfam family: Bacterial small subunit ribosomal RNA
Source: RNAcentral